GGGAUCUGUUAGUGAAGUCUAAUUUGAAUUAUAUAAAAUGUAGUGUAUAGUUCAAUGAGUUUUGACAAAUGUUUGCAGUGUGUAACAACCAGGCACGAUCAGGAUAUAGGACAUUUUUAUCACCCCAAAAAGAUUCUCCCCAUUAUAACCCCUAAAGCUACACAUCUGAUUUCUUUCCCUAUAGCUCUGCUUUUUUUCAGAAAGUCACAGAAAUGGAAUCCUACAUUAUAUAACCCUUUGUGUCUGGUUUCUUUCACUUUGCUUAUAAGAUUCAACAGUGUUGUUCCAUAUACCAGUAUUUCAUCCCUUUUUUAUUGCUGCAUAGUGUCCCAUUAUAUGGAUGUGCCACAAGUUGUUUUCCAUUUGCCAACUGAUAGAUACUGGAGUUGUUUCUAGAUUUUGGCUUCAUUUCUUUUAGGUAAAUGUCUAGGAGUAGGAAUGCUAGGUGUGAUGGUUAAUAUUAGUCGUCAACUUGACUGGAUUGGGAAUGCCUAGGUCACUGGUGACACACUGUUGCUGGGUGUGUCCACAACUCAUGGUGUGUCCAUGAGUUGUUUCCAGAGGAGACUGGCAUGUGAGUCAGUGGACUGAAAAAGAAAGACCAGCCCUCAAUGUGGGUGGGCACCAUCCAAUCACAUUGGGAUGUGGCUAGAAUAAAGCAGGUGGAAGAAAAGGGACAUUCAGCUUGCUUGGCUUUCCUUUUUUGCUCUCUCACACUUCUGGAGCAAGAAGACUUUUCUGCCUCUCACCCUUGGACAUCAGACUCCAGGUUCUUCAACCUCUGGGCUCUGGGACUUACACUAGCAGCCUCCCAGGGACUCUCAGACCUUCAGCCUCAGAAUGGGGGCUGUAGUGUUGGCUUCCCUGGUUUUGAGGCUUUCACACUUGGACUGAGUUACACUAUUGGCUUCUUUCAUUUUCCAGCUUGCCUAAUUGUGGGACUUCACCUUUGUGAACAUGGGAACCAAUUCUCCCUAACAAAUUAACUUCCAUACACAUACACACAAACACACAUAUAUCUACAUACACAUAUACAUACAUAUACAUGUAUAUACACAUAAUUGUAUAUCUAUGUAGACAUGUAUAUAUGUAUAUCCACACACAUGUGCGUGUAUAUACACACAUACACAUGUGUAUAUAUGUAUAUCCACACACGUGUCUAUGUGUACAUCCACACAUGUGUAUAUGUGUAUAUCUACAUAUACAUAUAUGUAUAUAUAUGUGUAUUAGGGUUCUCUAGAGAGACAAUAUACUAGGUUUUAUGGAAAAUAUAUCUUAACUUGAUAAGAAACUGCCAAACUGUUUUCCACAGUGGUUACAGCAUCUGCAUUCCCAUCAGCAAUGUAUGCGAGUUCCAGUUGUACUAUACCCUUGUCAGCACUUGAUAAGGUUGUAACCAUAAUUGGUCCAGUGCCCAAUGCAUUCAGCAAGUCAACAUGUGGAGACACCAGGCUGCAGCAGAGAGGUUUAGUCGUAGUGUCACAGAACAGGGAGACAGGAGGGAACCUCAAAUCCAUCUCCUUAAGGAGUUUGGGGUAGGGUUUUUUAGGGUUUUGGAGUGGGCCGAAGGGCAGAGAUCAUUCAUUGGUUGAACAGUGCAGGUUGAAGUCAUAGGGCAGGAGAUGAGGAAGCUGUCUUCUCAUGCUGAUUCUGCGCUUCAAAAUGCUUAUGGAAUUCAGGGUCUGUAAACAUCUUAACUGAUCCUUAAGCAAAAACCUUAUGGUUUUAAUGUCAGAGAUUCUAUCUAUAGGAACAAUAGAGAUGAAAAUCAACUGUUAAAUAGUCAUGAUCCUAAAGUUGGAAAUUCUAUUGAUAGGAACAACUGCGGAUGCAACUGGUCAGUAUCUAGAGUGCUGUGUGACUUUCAGCAACUGAUAAAUGGGUCAAAGUGCAGCCUGAUUAAUGCUGAUUUUUUUUUUUGUCAUGAGUAAGACGAUAUCUACUAGAUUCCUCUUUUGUAAAGUUCCUGUUUUUUUAAAUAAGAAUUUCAUGGGGAGAUGCUUUGAACCUAUGUAAGUAACUCAUUCCUUAUUCAACUUUUCCCCACUAGAUUUAGCAAACAUUGAUAUUUCUUGUCUGAUGAUUGCCAAAUGGUGAUUUUCUAAUUCUGUUUACUGAGUACCCCCAUUUUUCUAAGAGAAAGAUAACUGUGUUUUAAAACAUUUUUUUUUUCUUUUCUCCUUUUCUCCUUUCUCCCACUUCCCACUUAGUUCCUUAGAAAUGCAAUUAUAAUCUUUACCUUCCCUUCACCAGACACUCCUUACAGGGCAAGCUUAUUUAACCAUGUGCUUUUAGAAGGUUCUAAGCCAGAAAUCUCUCCCACCAGGAGACUGCCUGGAGAGACAACAGUCAAUUUACAAUCUAAACUAUGCCUGCUAGGAAACUCUGUCCCACUUGGAGAGCAUCUCAGACAAUGGCCACUUUACAAUCUAGUCCUGCCUGCCAUGGUGCCAGCUCAAACACCCGGUAGAUAAAAGCGCUAAGGAGAGUCAUGUAGAUCCUCACCUGCUUGCUCCCUCCCCUGCAUGCCAUUCAUGCCAAGUCCCACUUUAAAAGCCCCUGCUUUCUGCCCCAAAAGCAAAUCAGUACCUUAAGGCAGGAACCUGCACUUUUCCCCCUACGUUAAGCUUUGGAAUAAAAAGUCACUUUCUUUACGGCAGACCUCACUCUUGUUAAUUGUGCUCUGUAAGCAGUGGGCUGCUGAACCUAUGACUGGGUUACAAUUCCAUUCUUUUUUCUAAAUAUAUUAUUGAAUUCUAUUCUAAAGAGCUCUUUAUUGCCAUUUAUUUUUUUUUUUUGAAAGUGUGGACUCAUAGAUUCCAUUUUAACCCAUGGGAUAUAAUCUCCUGCUACUGUGAUUUAUUUUGAUGUUCAAAUUGUCCCAGAUUUGGCCAACAGGAGCCCUUUCAAGCUGAUUGCUUUGUCCUUUUGAACUGUCUCCACCAUUUCUUGAGCAUUUCCACACUUUCUAGCACAAGAUGUUCCAGUCUCAUACUAUACUUUCUCUGGCCCAACCCUAAAAUCAGCCAUUUCUCUAAAGCGCCCUGGUUCCUUUUCAUGGAGAAAGGUGUUUAGAGCUAGGUGUUAGGUGUUCUCUUGGCUAAUGUGGUGUUGCUGCACCAAGACCUUCUCACUGGUUAGGCCUAGGAAAUAUAUGUAAAUACAUUUAUAGACAUGUGUGUGUAUAUAACUGACUGUGGAAAAAUUACACACCCUAUUCCCUCACCCUCAACAAUUAACAAAGAAGACUUCAGUGACCAAAUGUCGGGGGGCGUUUCCCCACACACCAAGCAAGCAAUCGAUUCUGCAGCAGACACCAACUGGGUGUCCUCCAAUUCCCUUCUAACCUGGAGAUAGCAUCAGAUCCCACAGGUUGAGGCUCACUCCCCAACACAUCCCAACAACUGCCCCACUCUGUCCCUGGCCACUGACCAGUCCCAAGUCUGGGCCUCCAGAACUUCCGACAGGCUUCAAGUUGUGGUUGCCAUGACCCCCUCUUGGGUUAGAUUAAUUUGCUAGAGCAGCUCACUGAACUCAAGCAAACACUUAUGUUUACAAAAGAUAUUACAAACAAUACAGAUGAAAAGAUAAAUAGGAUGAGGUGUGGGAGAAGGGGCUCAGACCUUUCAUGCCUUCCCUGGGUGCACCACCCUCCCAGGAACCUCCUGGUGUUCAGCUAUCUAGAAGCUCUCCAACCCUGUCCUCAUGGGUUUUUAUGCAGGCUUCAUUACAUAAGGGAUGACUGAUUAAACUAUUGGCCACUGGUGAUAACCUGACCUUCAACCCUUCUCUAAUAUAUAUUUCAGAAUCUCACAAAAUAUAUAGAUACACACUUUUACAUUUAUAUUUAUUUUUAUAUCUACAUGUAUUAAGAACCAUGACUUUACAUGAAUAUCUCCAAUUCCAAUCCAAUCACACAAACUUCUUGCUUUUCUUAUUUCUGUACUUGUAACUCCCUUCUCCAACAGGGAAAAAUCUGGCUCCCAUUAGCCUCAAUAUAGUUUUUCUUUGUGUAGUUCUCCUGUAUGUAAUCAGCUGUCUGGCCUUGCAGGGCUGCUGCCCCACCUUCCUUCUUUGGGCUCAGACUCCUCACUGAACUGACAGCCCAGUCCAAUAUGGGAGUGACUAUAUUCUCCCAUGUAGAUGGAAAAGCAGAGAGAACAAGUUAGCAGAGAUACAUAGAAAACAAUCACAAGGGGCACAGAGAGUACCUUUUGGGUUCCUGGAAGCUUUUCAAUGACUGGUUCUAGUUUUUGCUAAGAUGUGGCUGUAUUCCUGUUCUGGGCUUUUGUGAGAAGCACCUAUAUCAUUAUGGUAAAUUCUCCCUUUUUGGUUGCGCUAGUUCAGCUUGGUUUCUGUUACUUGCAAACAGAGAGUCUUAAAGGUAUAUUUAAAUCCUGGCUUGUUCUACAAAAAAUAAACCAAAUUGUGGAAAUAAUAGGGGCUAAGGGAAAAUAAAAAUUAGCCCAUAGAAAAUGCAUGCCACAUGGUACUAUACCGUUGCUUAACACGGGCUGAAAUAUAGGCUUUAAGAUUUCUAGUGAUCCAAACAAAGUGUGAAACAAUAUCCCUUACAAGAUUUUAUGUCUCUGGAUUUAAAACAAACCAGCAAGUGGAGCAUGAAUAGAUAGACCAUUAGAACGGAUACAGAGUCCAGAAGUGAACUGCUCAAUAAAUGACUGUGUAGCCACCUGGACAAAAAAAUUAAUUUGGAUCUAUACCUCACCCUAUAUAUUAAAUCGAUUCCAAAUGGAUCAACUUUUAAUUCCAAAAGACUUAAAGUCUAAAUGUCCAUCAAUAGAGAAUUGGUAAAUUAUGGUAUGGAUAUACCUGCAAUAAUAUGUUAAGGGGGUUGAAAAAACAGCAAGGAGCUCUCUAUGUGUUACUAUAAACAUGCCCCCCGGAUACAUUAAGUAAAAAACACAAGGUGGAGUAAAUAUGUAUGGCAUGCCGGCAUUUUUCUAAACAAGGAACACAAAGGGCAUAUCUUGGCUCAUAUAUACAUAAACAUUUUGAAGAAUGAGCAGGAAACAGUGGUCACCUAUUUGUGACACUAGGACAGGUGUGAGGGACAUCUUUUUCCACUGUGUAUCUUUUAUAGGCUUUCUGAUAAAUGAAUAAUAUGGAUAUACUAUUUAUUUUAAAAAUAAAAACUGAAAUUGAUAAAAAUCAGACAAACCGGCCAGGCGCAGUGGCUCAUGCCUGUAAUCCCACCACUUUGGGAAGCCGAGGCAGGUCAGGAGUUCGAGACCAGCCUGGCCAACAUGGUGAAACCCCGUCUCUACUGAAAAUACAAAAAUUAGCCGGGCGUGGUGGCACAUGCCUGUAACCCAGCUACUUGGGAGGCUGAGGCAGAAGAAUCGCUUGAACCUAGGAGGCAGAGGUUGCAGUGAGACGAGAUUGCGCCAUUGCACUCCAGCCUGGGCGACAAGAGUGAAACUCUGCCUCAAAAAAGAAAAAAACAAAUACAUAAAAUUAAAAAAAUAAAAAAAUCAGGUAUACCUGCUGAUGGAACAAGCAGCCUGGCUAGUCUUGACAGAUUGCAAGAGGGCAACCAGAGGGGCUGAAGUUGUACCAGCCCACAAAUUUCCACUGCCAAUAGAGUCCAGUGCCUACCCCCAUACUGAGAUGCUGUCCUUCUCAUAAAGGCUUAUCAGGGAGUCCACCGAAGAGAUAUCUACAUUUGGGGAUAAGUUAAGACGAUGUUCUUUAAGCCAGACACUUAUUUAACGCCCACCGAUAUUUUAAUUCCUAGCUACAAAGAAAACCUUAUAUGUAUGACUGGGGUCUUAAAGGUAUGACAUGCUCACCGUGCUUGACAUAUAAGAAACUACUUUUUUAAAUACAUGGGUCUGCCAGGAGCAUCCUACUUCCUAAUUUUGCCCAUAAAUAUGCUACUUUCAAGUGAAACCUUAAGCCAAUUCAUAGUAAAUAUAUUAUCAAAAUUUUAGCACAGUAAUGACUGAGCACACCAGCCUCAAAGCCAGACUACGUGGGUUCAAAUCUCAGUUGUUCACUUACUGGCUACUUACUUGUUGGAAGUUAUUCCAUUUCUUCGUCUGUUAAAACAGGAAGCAGGCUGGGUACGGUGGCUCACGCCCGUAAUCCCAGCACUUUGGGAGGCCAAGGCGGACGGAUGACAAGGUCAGAAAUCGAGACCAUCAUGGCCAACAUGGUGAAACCCCGUCUCUUCUAAAAA
RNAcentral lists this long non-coding RNA (6199 nucleotides) under Homo sapiens (human). RNAcentral describes it as "non-protein coding lnc-DICER1-3:1". Lineage: Eukaryota; Metazoa; Chordata; Mammalia; Primates; Hominidae. The record is from RNAcentral.